CCUACGGGUGGCUGCAGUGGGGAAUAUUGGACAAUGGGGGCAACCCUGAUCCAGCCAUGCCGCGUGUGUGAAGAAGGCCCUCGGGUUGUAAAGCACUUUCAGUGAGGAAGAACGCCUGGUGGUUAAUACCCAUCAGGAAAGACAUCACUCACAGAAGAAGCACCGGCUAACUCCGUGCCAGCAGCCGCGGUAAUACGGAGGGUGCGAGCGUUAAUCGGAAUUACUGGGCGUAAAGCGCGCGUAGGUGGCUUGAUAAGCCGGUUGUGAAAGCCCCGGGCUCAACCUGGGAACGGCAUCCGGAACUGGCAAGCUAGAGUGCAGGAGAGGAAGGUAGAAUUCCCGGUGUAGCGGUGAAAUGCGUAGAGAUCCGGAGGAAUACCAGUGGCGAAGGCGGCCUUCUGGACUGACACUGACACUGAGGUGCGAAAGCGUGGGUAGCAAACAGGAUUAGAUACCCCUGUAGUC
RNAcentral lists this ribosomal RNA (465 nucleotides) under Vreelandella stevensii. Its description in RNAcentral is "partial 16S ribosomal RNA". It matches the Rfam family "Bacterial small subunit ribosomal RNA", at positions 338 to 795 of the family's 1533-position model. Lineage: Bacteria; Pseudomonadati; Pseudomonadota; Gammaproteobacteria; Oceanospirillales; Halomonadaceae. The record is from RNAcentral.